Unclassified non-coding RNA from Cavia aperea (Brazilian guinea pig), 97 nucleotides. It matches the Rfam family "Y RNA". Rfam says of the family: Y RNAs are components of the Ro ribonucleoprotein particle (Ro RNP), in association with Ro60 and La proteins. The Y RNAs and Ro60 and La proteins are well conserved, but the function of the Ro RNP is not known. In humans the RNA component can be one of four small RNAs -- hY1, hY3, hY4 and hY5. The record is from Ensembl. Lineage: Eukaryota; Metazoa; Chordata; Mammalia; Rodentia; Caviidae.
GGCUGGUCCGAUGACAGUGGGUUAUCAGAACUUAUUAACAUUAGUGUCACUAAAGUUGGUAUACCACCUCCCCACUGCUAAAUUUGACUGGCUUAAA